This 212-nucleotide ribosomal RNA is filed under the name uncultured Anoxybacillus sp. RNAcentral describes it as "partial 16S ribosomal RNA". It matches the Rfam family "Bacterial small subunit ribosomal RNA", at positions 1171 to 1382 of the family's 1533-position model. Lineage: Bacteria; Bacillati; Bacillota; Bacilli; Caryophanales; Anoxybacillaceae. The record is from RNAcentral.
AAGUGGGGAUGACGUCAAAUCAUCAUGCCCCUUAUGACCUGGGCUACACACGUGCUACAAUGGGCGGUACAAAGGGUCGCGAACCCGCGAGGGGGAGCCAAUCCCAAAAAGCCGCUCUCAGUUCGGAUUGCAGGCUGCAACUCGCCUGCAUGAAGCCGGAAUCGCUAGUAAUCGCGGAUCAGCAUGCCGCGGUCGAAUACGUUCCGGGCCUU